RNAcentral lists this ribosomal RNA (469 nucleotides) under uncultured bacterium. RNAcentral describes it as "bacterial SSU rRNA". It matches the Rfam family "Bacterial small subunit ribosomal RNA", at positions 329 to 795 of the family's 1533-position model. The record is from RNAcentral.
GACCAGACUCCUACGGGAGGCAGCAGUGAGGAAUAUUGGUCAAUGGGCGCGAGCCUGAACCAGCCAAGUAGCGUGAAGGAUGACUGCCCUACGGGUUGUAAACUUCUUUUAUAAAGGAAUAAAGUGAGGCACGUGUGCCUUUUUGUAUGUACUUUAUGAAUAAGGAUCGGCUAACUCCGUGCCAGCAGCCGCGGUAAUACGGAGGAUGCGAGCGUUAUCCGGAAUCAUUGGGCGUAAAGAGUUCGUAGGCGGUAUGUUAAGUCUGGUGUUAAAUGCAGAAGCUCAACUUCUGUUCGGCACUGGAUACUGGCAAACUAGAAUGCGGUAGAGGUAAAGGGAAUUCCUGGUGUAGCGGUGAAAUGCUUAGAUAUCAGGAGGAACAUCGGUGGCGUAAGCGCUUUACUGGGCCGUAAUUGACGCUGAGGAACGAAAGCCAGGGUAGCAAAUGGGAUUAGAUACCCCAGUAGUU